UACGGGAGGCAGCAGUGGGGAAUAUUGCACAAUGGGCGCAAGCCUGAUGCAGCCAUGCCGCGUGUAUGAAGAAGGCCUUCGGGUUGUAAAGUACUUUCAGUCGUGAGGAAGGUGUUAAGGUUAAUAACCUUAGCAAUUGACGUUAGCGACAGAAGAAGCACCGGCUAACUCCGUGCCAGCAGCCGCGGUAAUACGGAGGGUGCGAGCGUUAAUCGGAAUUACUGGGCGUAAAGGGCACGCAGGCGGUUAAUUAAGUUGGAUGUGAAAUCCCCGGGCUUAACCUGGGAAUGGCAUUCAAGCUGGUUAGCUAGAGUCUUGUAGAGGGGGUAGAAUUCCAUGUGUAGCGGUGAAAUGCGUAGAGAUGUGGAGGAAAUACCGGUAGGCGAAAGGCGGCCCCUGGACAAAGGACUGACGCUCAUGUGCGAAAGCGUGGGGAGCAAACAGGAUUAGAUACC
Molecule: ribosomal RNA, 455 nt
Filed under: uncultured bacterium
Lineage: Bacteria
Description: bacterial SSU rRNA
Rfam family: Bacterial small subunit ribosomal RNA
Source: RNAcentral